GUCGAGGGGCAGCAUGGUCUUAGCUUGCUAAGGCCGAUGGCGACCGGCGCACGGGUGAGUAACACGUAUCCAACCUGCCGUCUACUCUUGGACAGCCUUCUGAAAGGAAGAUUAAUACAAGAUGGCAUCAUGAGUCCGCAUGUUCACAUGAUUAAAGGUAUUCCGGUAGACGAUGGGGAUGCGUUCCAUUAGAUAGUAGGCGGGGUAACGGCCCACCUAGUCUUCGAUGGAUAGGGGUUCUGAGAGGAAGGUCCCCCACAUUGGAACUGAGACACGGUCCAAACUCCUACGGGAGGCAGCAGUGAGGAAUAUUGGUCAAUGGGCGAGAGCCUGAACCAGCCAAGUAGCGUGAAGGAUGACUGCCCUAUGGGUUGUAAACUUCUUUUAUAAAGGAAUAAAGUCGGGUAUGGAUACCCGUUUGCAUGUACUUUAUGAAUAAGGAUCGGCUAACUCCGUGCCAGCAGCCGCGGUAAUACGGAGGAUCCGAGCGUUAUCCGGAUUUAUUGGGUUUAAAGGGAGCGUAGAUGGAUGUUUAAGUCAGUUGUGAAAGUUUGCGGCUCAACCGUAAAAUUGCAGUUGAUACUGGAUAUCUUGAGUGCAGUUGAGGCAGGCGGAAUUCGUGGUGUAGCGGUGAAAUGCUUAGAUAUCACGAAGAACUCCGAUUGCGAAGGCAGCCUGCUAAGCUGCAACUGACAUUGAGGCUCGAAAGUGUGGGUAUCAAACAGGAUUAGAUACCCUGGUAGUCCACACGGUAAACGAUGAAUACUCGCUGUUUGCGAUAUACUGCAAGCGGCCAAGCGAAAGCGUUAAGUAUUCCACCUGGGGAGUACGCCGGCAACGGUGAAACUCAAAGGAAUUGACGGGGGCCCGCACAAGCGGAGGAACAUGUGGUUUAUUCGAUGAUACGCGAGGAACCUUACCCGGGCUUAAUUGCAGAUGAAUUACGGUGAAAGCCGUAAGCCGCAAGGCAUCUGUGAAGGUGCUGCAUGGUUGU
RNAcentral lists this ribosomal RNA (994 nucleotides) under Phocaeicola vulgatus. Its description in RNAcentral is "bacterial SSU rRNA". It matches the Rfam family "Bacterial small subunit ribosomal RNA", at positions 61 to 1052 of the family's 1533-position model. Lineage: Bacteria; Pseudomonadati; Bacteroidota; Bacteroidia; Bacteroidales; Bacteroidaceae. The record is from RNAcentral.